AGAGUUUGAUCAUGGCUCAGAAUCAACGCUGGCGGCGUGCCUAACACAUGCAAGUCGAACGAGAAAGUGGAGCAAUCCAUGAGUAAAGUGGCGCACGGGUGAGUAACACGUGACUAACCUACCCUUGAGUGGGGGAUAACUUCGGGAAACCGAGGCUAAUACCGCAUAAUACCUACGGGUCAAAGGAGCAAUUCGCUUAAGGAGGGGGUCGCGGCAGAUUAGUUAGUUGGCGGGGUAAUGGCCCACCAAGACAAUGAUCUGUAUCCGGCCUGAGAGGGCGCACGGACACACUGGAACUGAAACACGGUCCAGACUCCUACGGGAGGCAGCAGUGGGGAAUUUUGCGCAAUGGGGGAAACCCUGACGCAGCAACGCCGCGUGGAGGAUGAAGUCCUUAGGGACGUAAACUCCUUUCGAUCGGGACGAUUAUGACGGUACCGAGAGAAGAAGCCCCGGCUAACUUCGUGCCAGCAGCCGCGGUAAUACGAGGGGGGCGAGCGUUGUUCGGAAUUAUUGGGCGUAAAGGGUGCGUAGGCGGUUUGGUAAGUCUGAUGUGAAAUCUAUGGGCUCAACUCAUAGUCUGCAUCGGAAACUGCCGGGCUUGAGUAUGGGAGAGGUGAGUGGAAUUUCCGGUGUAGCGGUGAAAUGCGUAGAUAUCGGAAGGAACACCUGUGGCGAAAGCGGCUCACUGGACCAUAACUGACGCUGAUGCACGAAAGCUAGGGGAGCAAACAGGAUUAGAUACCCUGGUAGUCCUAGCCCUAAACGAUGACUGCUUGGUGUGACGGGUACCCAAUCCCGCCGUGCCGUAGCUAACGCGUUAAGCAGUCCGCCUGGGGAGUACGGUCACAAGGCUGAGACUCAAAGGAAUUGACGGGGGCCCGCACAAGCGGUGGAGCAUGUGGUUUAAUUCGACGCAACGCGAAGAACCUUACCUGGGCUCGAAUGUUAUG
Molecule: ribosomal RNA, 953 nt
Filed under: uncultured bacterium
Lineage: Bacteria
Description: bacterial SSU rRNA
Rfam family: Bacterial small subunit ribosomal RNA
Source: RNAcentral